AGUGAUGCUCCUGAGCUCGGAUGAGGAGGAUGAGGAUGAAGAGGAAGAAAUGGAGGAGCCCCCCAAGAAACCCCCCAAAGGUGCCCAGAGGAGCAGCACUGCCAGGGGAAGGAAGCCGGAGAAGGAGGAUGAGCUCAGGAGAAACCUCGGCCCCAAGGCCCCCGUUCCCAGCAA
This is a long non-coding RNA of Ficedula albicollis (Collared flycatcher), 174 nucleotides long. RefSeq lists it as uncharacterized. The transcript is spliced from 3 exons. The record is from RefSeq and is a predicted model, not a curated record. NCBI's taxonomy places the organism in Eukaryota, Metazoa, Chordata, Aves, Passeriformes, Muscicapidae.